RNAcentral lists this ribosomal RNA (439 nucleotides) under uncultured bacterium. RNAcentral's name for it is "partial 16S ribosomal RNA". It matches the Rfam family "Bacterial small subunit ribosomal RNA", at positions 339 to 795 of the family's 1533-position model. The record is from RNAcentral.
CUACGGGUCGCAGCAGUGAGGAAUAUUGCACAAUGGGGGGAACCCUGAUGCAGCAACGCCGCGUGGAGGAUGACGCAUUUCGGUGUGUAAACUCCUUUUAUAUGCCAAGAAAAUGACGGUAGCAUAUGAAUAAGCACCGGCUAACUCCGUGCCAGCAGCCGCGGUAAUACGGAGGGUGCAGGCGUUACUCGGAAUCACUGGGCGUAAAGGACGCGUAGGCGGGUUGGAAAGUCAGGUGUGAAAUCCUACAGCUUAACUGUAGAACUGCACUUGAAACUUCUAAUCUAGAGUAUGGGAGGGGGAGAUGGAAUUAGUGGUGUAGGGGUAAAAUCCGUAGAUAUCACUAGGAAUACCUAAAGCGAAGGCGAUCUCCUGGAACAUUACUGACGCUAAGGCGUGAAAGCGUGGGGAGCAAACAGGAUUAGAUACCCUCGUAGUC